This 806-nucleotide ribosomal RNA is filed under the name uncultured Hydrogenobaculum sp. Its description in RNAcentral is "bacterial SSU rRNA". It matches the Rfam family "Bacterial small subunit ribosomal RNA", at positions 481 to 1284 of the family's 1533-position model. The record is from RNAcentral. Lineage: Bacteria; Pseudomonadati; Aquificota; Aquificia; Aquificales; Aquificaceae.
UCAGAGGAAGGGACGGCUAAUUACGUGCCAGCAGCCGCGGUAAUACGUAGUCCCGAGCGUUGCGCGAUGUUACUGGGCGUAAAGCGUCCGUAGCUGGUUUCGUAAGCGGAUUGUCAAAGCCCGAAGCUCAACUUCGGCAAGGCAUUCCGAACUGCGUUACUUGAGUCCUGUUCAGGUAGGCGGAAUUCCCGGUGUAGCGGUGAGAUGCGUAGAUAUCGGGAGGAACACCAGUGGCGAAGGCGGCCUACUGGGACGGUACUGACGGUCAUGGACGAAAGCUGGGGGAGCAAACCGGAUUAGAUACCCGGGUAGUCCCAGUCGUAAACGAUGGAUGUUAGGUGUAGUGAUAACUUCGCUGCACCCCAGCUAACGCGUUAAACAUCCCGCCUGGGGAGUACGGGCGCAAGCCUGAAACUCAAAGGAAUUGGCGGGGGCCCGCACAACCGGUGGAGCGUCUGGUUUAAUUCGAUGCUACCGAAAAACCUUACCAGGGUUUGAAAUGGUAGGAAAGGCUGUCGAAAGAUAGCCGUGUUUCCCUUUUGGGAGAAAUCCUACCACAGGUGGUGCAUGGCCGUCGUCAGCUCGUGUUGUGAGAUGUUGGGUUAAGUCCCGCAACGAGCGCAACCCUUGUCCUUAUUUGCCUCCUCUUAUGAGGUGCUCUAUAAGGAGACUGCCGGCGACAAGCCGGAGGAAGGAGGGGACGACGUCAGGUCAGUAUGCCCUUUAUGCUCUGGGCUACACAGGCGCUACAGUGGCAAGGACAAUGAGUAGCGAGAGUGCAAGCUCAAGCUAAUCUCACAAACCUU